Helicoverpa zea (corn earworm) is the source of this 1217-nucleotide long non-coding RNA. RefSeq lists it as uncharacterized. The record is from RefSeq and is a predicted model, not a curated record. Lineage: Eukaryota; Metazoa; Arthropoda; Insecta; Lepidoptera; Noctuidae. The transcript is spliced from 2 exons.
CGCCAGGUGUUAUGGUCCCUUCUCGGUCCCUUCACAUCCUCUCUCCACCCAUACAGUAAGCAUAGCGCGCUCACUUGUUUAGUGUGUUUCUACAUCUAUUGACGUACAGACGUUGCAUUUUUAAGUCGUUUUUUGAUAUAUCAUAUAAAAUAAUAAUAUUUUGAUGCCUGUUGGAAGCGACCUGUGGUUAAUUUGAAAAGAAAAAAACCUAACGAACAAUUUUGCUUAUUCUGCGAUAAUUCAAGUGAUUUAGUGAAGAACCCAAGGCCAAGUACGUUUCUUCAUAUCAUAGAAGCAGCAAAUAGGAGAAAAGACAGCAUUAGUGAAGUUUUCAAAACUAUAUGAUCCAGACUCCACAAAACAAGAAUUUUCAUGGCAUCAAGACUGUUUAGCCACUUAUAUAAGUGAGGAGAAAAUAAGGCGUCGAGAAAUUGCGUUGCAUAAAAAAGAAGAAAAAGAAGUGUCUGCUUCAACUUCCAAAGCAAACGUGGAGGAGCUGACUCCAAAAUCUCGUUCGUCAUCAAGGGAACCGGCAGCGUUGAAAAAAUCGUUGAAAUGCAUAUUUUGUAAGAAGGUAACAAGAAACAAAGAUAAGCAGCUACAUUUAUGUUCGGAAAUUUCAGCAGCGGAAAAAAUUUUUAGUACUGCACGUAGGAAAGAAGAUCAUAUUUUCACUGAACUGAGUACUUGUCAACGGCCUGAAGAUUUAUUUGCUAUCGGAGUGAGAUACAUAUCACAAACAUUGUUACCUUGAUUAUUUAAGAUUACCGAGAAGUUUUGAAUUGCCAGCUGGUCGACCUUCAAAUCAAAUCCCUAAAGAAAUACUUAUCGAUGCAUUUGACAAACUAAUAGAUGUAAUUAAAGACCGGUUACCAACACAUUCUUUUUACACAAUAAACACAAUUACCAACCAUUGAUUAUUGUUCAUUUGGUUACGAAAAUCUCAACGGUGACUUACGUUCACGACAAAUGACGAAGCCGUCUUUACCAGAGUCAUUAAUUCCACCAUGUAAAUGUACUUCAAAUUGUCGCACAAUGUCUUGUAAUUGCAAAAAAUCGGAAUUGUUUUGUAUUUCAUUAUGUAAAUGCAUCAAUAACAAAUGUGAAUAUAAAAAUGAUUAAGUUUUUACCUACUUUAACUACAUUUAUGCUUUAAUUAGCUGGUUUUCAUAUAUAACUUUCAUUUUUUUAUCAAUAAAAAAAAAAUAUUACUGUAA